Molecule: ribosomal RNA, 259 nt
Filed under: uncultured Diachea
Lineage: Eukaryota; Evosea; Eumycetozoa; Stemonitida; Stemonitidae
Description: partial 18S ribosomal RNA
Rfam family: Eukaryotic small subunit ribosomal RNA
Source: RNAcentral
AUGCUUCUCCUAAAGACUAAGCCAUGCAUGUCUUCGAAUAAGAGGAAGCAAUUCUCUCUGAAUCUGCGAACGGCUCCGCAAACCAGUUGUAAACUACAGCAAGCCCGCUUGGGCCUGGCCUUCACGGGUCGGGUCCAGGCAACACGGAUAACCCUGGUAAUUCUGAGGCUAAUACGAGGACGUAACCCCUGGCUGACCGGCAACGGGAGGCUGGGGAACGUGUAACAAUCUCGCGAGGAAUCUUGCCGGGAAUCGGGUG